GGAACUGAGACACGGUCCAGACUCCUACGGGAGGCAGCAGUAGGGAAUAUUGCUCAAUGGGGGAAACCCUGAAGCAGCAACGCCGCGUGGAGGAUGACACUUUUCGGAGCGUAAACUCCUUUUGUUAGGGAAGAACAAUGACGGUACCUAACGAAUAAGCACCGGCUAACUCCGUGCCAGCAGCCGCGGUAAUACGGAGGGUGCAAGCGUUACUCGGAAUCACUGGGCGUAAAGGACGCGUAGGCGGAUUAUCAAGUCUCUUGUGAAAUCCUAUGGCUUAACCAUAGAACUGCUUGGGAAACUGAUAAUCUAGAGUGAGGGAGAGGCAGAUGGAAUUGGUGGUGUAGGGGUAAAAUCCGUAGAGAUCACCAGGAAUACCCAUUGCGAAGGCGAUCUGCUGGAACUCAACUGACGCUAAUGCGUGAAAGCGUGGGGAGCAAACAGGAUUAGAUACCCUGGUAGUCCACGCCCUAAACGAUGUAUACUAGUUGUUGCUAAGCUAGUCUUGGCAGUAAUGCACCUAACGGAUUAAGUAUACCGCCUGGGGAGUACGGUCGCAAGAUUAAAACUCAAAGGAAUAGACGGGGACCCGCACAAGCGGUGGAGCAUGUGGUUUAAUUCGAAGAUACGCGAAGAACCUUACCCGGACUUGAUAUCUAACAAAUCAUCUAGAGAUAGAAGAGUGUCUGCUUGCAGAAAUGUUAAGACAGGUGCUGCACGGCUGUCGUCAGCUCGUGUCGUGAGAUGUUGGGUUAAGUCCCGCAACGAGCGCAACCCACGUCAUUAGUUGCUAACAGUUAGGCUGAGCACUCUAAUGAGACUGCCUUCGUAAGGAGGAGGAAGGUGUGGACGACGUCAAGUCAUCAUGGCCCUUAUGUCCGGGGCGACACACGUGCUACAAUGGCAUAUACAAUGAGAAGCAAUAUCGCGAGAUGGAGCAAAUCUAUAAAAUAUGUCCCAGUUCGGAUUGGAGUCUGCAACUCGACUCCAUGAAGCCGGAAUCGCUAGUAAUCGUAGAUCAGCCAUGCUACGGUGAAUACGUUCCCGGGUCUUGUACUCACCGCCCGUCACGCCAUGGGAGUUGAUUUCACUCGAAGCCGGAA
Molecule: ribosomal RNA, 1103 nt
Filed under: Campylobacter concisus
Lineage: Bacteria; Pseudomonadati; Campylobacterota; Epsilonproteobacteria; Campylobacterales; Campylobacteraceae
Description: bacterial SSU rRNA
Rfam family: Bacterial small subunit ribosomal RNA
Source: RNAcentral